AUUGAGCGCUGGCGGCAUGCUUUACACAUGCAAGUCGAACGGUAACAGGCCGCAAGGUGCUGACGAGUGGCGAACGGGUGAGUAAUGCAUCGGAACGUGCCCAGUCGUGGGGGAUAACUACUCGAAAGAGUAGCUAAUACCGCAUACGAUCUAUGGAUGAAAGCGGGGGACCGUAAGGCCUCGCGCGAUUGGAGCGGCCGAUGUCAGAUUAGGUAGUUGGUGGGGUAAAGGCUCACCAAGCCAACGAUCUGUAGCUGGUCUGAGAGGACGACCAGCCACACUGGGACUGAGACACGGCCCAGACUCCUACGGGAGGCAGCAGUGGGGAAUUUUGGACAAUGGGCGCAAGCCUGAUCCAGCAAUGCCGCGUGCAGGAAGAAGGCCUUCGGGUUGUAAACUGCCUUUGUACGGAACGAAACGGCUCUGGUUAAUACCCGGGGCUAAUGACGGUACCGUAAGAAUAAGCACCGGCUAACUACGUG
RNAcentral lists this ribosomal RNA (482 nucleotides) under uncultured bacterium. RNAcentral describes it as "partial 16S ribosomal RNA". It matches the Rfam family "Bacterial small subunit ribosomal RNA", at positions 30 to 507 of the family's 1533-position model. The record is from RNAcentral.